AGCAAACUCCAACAACACGCUCCACAAAGCAUGACUUGGAGAGAUUAUUUUAUUAUUCAUAUAAAGGACACCAUUUAUUAAUGUGUUUAGCUCUCUAAAGCAAUGAAGCAGCUGCUUUGUCAAGGUACCACAUUUGUUCGACUUGGGCAGUAAGAUGAGCAGCAGGUAAGGCGAGAUUGUUGUGCUUAAAGAUAUCAGCGAUGGAGCGUGCACAUUGCUCUGUGUUGUCGUCGCAAACGGCCACAAGAUUGUACAAAGACGAGUUGAUGACCGGUAAAGUCAAUGUGAUUCUCCUUGGUGGCGGUUUUGGGGAGUCGGUAAUGUGAGUGACCCAUUUGUCCGUCACAUUGAUCUGAGGACGUUCCGGGAAGAGAGACGCCAUGUGGCCAUCAGGACCCAUCCCUUGGAGCUGGAGAUCGAACUGAGGAAAUUGGCCAUUUGGACAUAGUGGGAGUAUCUUUUCCUUCACCAGGUUCCUCAAGCACUCCUCGUAGAGCGUCGCACAACGCUCCGCGUCACCAUCAGCGGCACAUUGUUUGUCGAUUGCGUAGAUGUUCUCCUUCGGAAUCCCAACCUAAAUACACGUGGUUAAAUUUUAACCAAACAAAAAUAUUUGAGGUUUUUUUGCACGGCUAUCAAUGGAUAUGAAUAAUGAAACCACUUGUUACGUGAUAAAUGAUAACUAAUCGAAAAUAUAAUAAUAACGAUGAUAAAACCUUGGAGAUAAAACCAUCCAUGGCGAGUUUGUAGUUGCUGUUUUGAUCUUCAUGUGAACAGACCCUCUCGUCCACCCAAAAGACGUGCCACUUUGACCAUUCGACUGAUUCUUUGUAUGGUGAUUCCAACAACUUGCUGCAACAAUUUAUUAGUUAAAGCAUCAUAUAUCACUAGAUUUGUCUUUAAGAAAAAAAAAAGAAAAGAAUAAGAGAGUGAAAUGGGGAAGAUAUUAAAUAUGUAUACCCGAGCCAAUCGAUGAGGCCACAGCCGGAGAGAACAACGGUGAAAAUUCCUUUCUCCUUGCAGAACUUGGCCGAGAGAUGAGCAGUGUACUUAGCCAAUGCUACCGACAAUUCAUUCUUGGUCGCAAACACCUCCCUCUUCCUCUGCGUAGUUUCUGCCAUCGUUGCCUAUAUUAAGAAUGUGUUUGUAAGUUGUUAAAAGAAGAAAUGUGUUUGUAAGUUGUUAAAACAAAAAAUGUGUUUGUAUAUAUUGUUAAGGAUUGGGGGUUUCUUGCUAUUUAUAGAGAUCGAGUGCUUCUAGGAGCUCGAUGUGACGUUUUAGUUAGCAACGUGAUUCUUAUGGCCGGAUCAAUCGAUUGGCUUCUCCAAGAGUGAAAUGGGGAAGAUAUUAAACUGGUCAAAUAUUGUCCUUCUCACUUUUUAGUAAUUACUUCUAAGCUUCUCCAAUAGAAUGUGCCCUCAAAACAGUUUCAGAAAUCAAAUAUUAAUUAUGCUUUUGUUUCAAGAUGUCCUCAGCUUGAAAUCAACAUAAUUCACGCAAGAUAUUAUUCACCAUUACAAUUGGUGGUGAUUUUUCCAAUAAAAGAAAAAAUAGAUAGCAAAAGUAGUCCAUUGUCCAUUAGACCAGUUCGUUCUCCUUUUACUAAAGUUCAGUGUUUUGAAAACCGGACCGGACGAACCAUAAUUCGCUCUUUUAACCAGUUUUAAGUUGUACUAAAAACUGGAUCUGAGUUAAACCAGAAAAUUUGGUAAAACCGGUGAUCCGGUUUAAUAUUAAAACUCGGUUUUCUCAAUUUAAGUUAAAAAUAUUUAAAAAUUGCAAUUUUUAAGAAUAUUUCACUAAAAAGAUAUUUUUAUUUUUAAAUAAAUUAGUUUUCAUUAUAUUUUUAUACUAUAUUUUAAGUUUUCAUUUUAUUUAUGUAUCAAUUUUAGUUAGAUUCUAGUAAUGAUAUAAAAUUUUAUAAAAAUAAUUUUAUAACUAUACAUAUAUAUUACAAUGCCGAGUAAAUGUCUCAUCCGGUUUUUAAAACAUUGCUAAAGUUUGUAAAAACAAAUUUCCCGUUUUGUUUCUUUUUUAUAUGGUUAAAGAAUCAUUAACAAAGAAGCACCUGGUGAAAGAAAUGUUAUCUCAAAUAAAUAUAAAUUGCUUAAAAAUGUAUCAAAAAUGUGAAGUUCUUGAGGAAUAUAAUUUCUGGCUAUAUUUUCUGAAGAUACGUACUAAGACUUUUGGAGGUUGACAUGGGUGUUACAUGAUAGUAAUUGAUGUUUGUGUCACACCAGUAGUAAGACAGUCGACCAGCUUGCAAAGAUGAUCGACAAAACUGUUCGGAAUCGUACUUCUACCAAAUACUCCACCAACCCAAGGUUACAUGGAUUGAUGAAUAGAUGGUUUGCGGCUCAUGUUUAAUACUCUAGCCGUUCCAUUAAAAUUCAGUGUUUAAACUCCUUAUAGCUGUAUAUAUAUAUUCUUUUGUGAUCAAUAAAUUUAAAAUUUUAUAAAAAAAAAAUUUGAUGUUUGUGUCUGCCUCGUCUGUUACAUUCUUGGUUUCUAUGUCUCUGUGUUUAGGAUAGUGAGUUGUAUGGGGUCGAACAUGACUCAAUCUGAUAUGGUAAAUUAGACCAACCGUGAAAGGGUAAUUCACGAAUUGACUGAUUCAUAUGAAACCAAGCCACUUUAAUUUUAUUUACCUAACGAAACUCCGCAUUAAUUGUUUUAAAAAAAAAUUAACCAACAAAAAUCCUUUUUACAUCUAAAGUUUUUUUUUUGUGAAAAAGGGCUUUUUACAACUAAAGUUGCUUGUGUUUGAGAUUUUUGAAUAUCUAAAAGAGAACUAUGUUGACAUGGCCUUCCGAGUUCCGAUGGACUGAGUCCUCGCUUGUUGUCAUGCUUGAGAUACGGUUUUUGACUUGGUUAUUGAUGAGUUUAACGAGACUUGCUGCUGAUUUGUGCAAUUCUCCAAAUUUUCUCCCAUUUCAUUCCUUCCAAAUGGUAUAUAAGGAGGCUUUAAAACAUAUCAGAGAAGAAACAACUCUACCUUGCUUCUCUGAUGAUUGGUACGGAGCAGCACUAUAUCUUCCCAUUGAUGAGUGUACUCGGUAGACAGUAGCUUAUAGGUGAGGCUUUUCCAACCUUCUGCAGAGUAUCGGCAUUGGUAGAAUAAAUGGUUUUGCAUGUUUUCUGGGUGAUUCAUACAUAAGUGGCACUGCACAGAGAUGAAGCAACACCACUCCACUGUGAUAUGCGGUCUCCAGUGGGAAGCAUGUUUGGAAUAGCAACCCAUACAGUAAAAGAGUACUUUGGAAUGUUGUGUUGGAACCAAACUCCGUAUUAAUUGUUAAUGUUGGUUACACUCAGUUUUCAUGUGAGGGUCCUGACGGGAGAUAAUAUGACUAUGAUAUUCAAAAAGAAAUGAUAAUCUGAAAAGACUUGAUACAUAUUUAAUAACUUUGAUCAUGAGAGUCUGGUGAAAAGGGGGAAAUAUGUAUAAACUAUUCAGUUUUUCUUGAUACCUGUAUUUUUUACAAAAUUAAUAAUUAUUCUACACAUAACCUGCACUGUAAUAAUAAAUUUAUUCUAUUGAAAUGUUAUAACUGCUUAGGUUAUAGAAAAAAAGAACGUGGUUAAAGUUAGUAUAUAAUUAGAAGUAGUUAUGAAAUAAUCAGUUUUUUUUUUAAAGUAACUCCAAAAUGGCAAAAUAAGUAAGGCCAUGUUUAUUACAUUCCCUUAGACAAGUAUUUUACUAUAAUUAAGAAUUAGGAAAAAAGAAAAAAAAACAGCUUUUAGCUAAGAGAUGGUAAGAAAUGUCCCUUAAAUAAGACACAUAAGAGCAUCCGCAAUGGUGAUCCCCAAUUAGGAGAUCUUAGAAAUAAAAAAUAAUAAUUUUUUUUUAAAUUGAAAUUGAAAUUUUAUUAAUUGCAUGAUUAAAAAUAAAUAUACCAGAAAAUAGAAGUUUAAAAAUGUAUAAGUUUAAAAAUUCAAUUUCAAUUUAAAAAAAAAAAAAUUUUAAGCUAAAAAUUUUCUAUUAGUUUUUUUUAUCUUAUGUAUAAGUUUAUCUUCUUAAAACUAUAGGUUUCAUUUAAUAUAAGUGUGAUAGAGUUUAAAAAUGUCUAUGAUACAAGUUUAAAAAUGUUUACAAGUCAAAUGUUUACAAGUCAUAGCCACCACGUAGACAAGGAUUUGAUCCUUAAAUUCCUUAUGUAAGGAUCAAUCCUUGUAUUAUGUUACUCAAAUAAUAGUUUUUUAAUCUGAUAAACAUUGGAUGUGGAGCUAAGGAUCCUUAACGGACUCCCAUUGCAGAUGGUCUAAGGACAUGAUUAUCGGCGUAUUUAAGUCAAAGUCCUUAGCAAAUUAUGUUUAAAAAUAAAUAAAUAAUAAUGAAAAAGACGGAGAACGUUAGUUAGUUAAGGGAUUUUUUCACCGCGUCCUUAUUGCUACGCGUCGUGACGUGAUAUGCUUUCAGGACGGUGAGGGUUAACCCCGGUUCGCGAUGGAAAUCCCUUUCAUCUUCUUCACUUCUUCUCUCUCGACUAUCGACGGCGAAAACCAUAGAUUGUUGUGGUUCUCCGACGAUUCAAGGCAAAAUCGAAGCCUUUCUCGUUGAUUUUGUCCAGUAGACACCGAUCUCCGCCGCGCCCCUUGUUCCUUUCUUCUCUCUCGACUCUUCACCGCGAUUCGAAUCGAAGCCUUUUCGUUGAUUUGGCCCAGUAGAUUCCGUCCUCCGCCGCGUCCCUUCUUCCCUGCUUCUCUCUUCCCUCUUGACGGCGAUUCAAAACGCCUCUGGUUCUCCGCCGAUUGGGAGUCUACGAAAUCUAAAGACCAAAAUAACUCCCACCAAUAAUCCAUGUUUUCUUUAAAAGUCCUUAAGAUUGUCCUUAACUACAAAUAACAUUAAAAAAAACACUAAGGACCUUCAAUCUAAAGACAUGGUUGCCCUAACGAACACCUCUUAGUGCUUUUACACUAUUUUACUUAAUUUUAUUAAUUAAAUAUUUAUUAAGAACCUAGUAAGGUCUUUCCCAAUAAUCAUACCCUUACCUUUCUUCCCACUUUUAAUUAUUAAUUUACGUAACUGCUUCUAAUUAUUAAUUUACGUCAUUGCAGAAACCCAAUAACCAACUUGCAUGCAUAAACUUUUUUUUUUUUUUUUGGUAAAAAUGUUAAAAUUCAUUACCAGAUUUUCAGUUUUUUACAGACAAACAGGGGAAACAAGAAGCAGAGUACAAAAUUAAUUCUAACAGAGACUCAUACCAACACAUAAACAAGACCUAAACUACAAGCAAAGCAACAUCACAGGAAGAAAGCAUCAAAGAUAAAGCCAUAACUUGCCGCAGAAUCGAACCCGCAGUUAACACGAGAUAUUGGACCCGGUAGAAUUGGGCGUACCCGGUGACCAAAUCUUAAAGAUCGGGAAGUCAAAAACAGCUCGCUAGGCCCACCUAAUCCACGGCCUUCAAGGACAGACCGCUACACCUGCAACCAAGGACACCGGCCGAGAGAAGAUCGAGCUUUAUUUGGAGAAGGAGCACCCAAAGCCACCACACUGCCAUCGAACCUGCACCGGAGAGACAAAGACAACAACCUCCACCCUAAGGCGGAUGUUCUCGAGACAGCCCUAGAUCAGCCCCAGAACCAUGUUGACUCCGCACGUGUUGCCACCGAAGAGCCUAGCUGCGGUUGACAAGACCAGCAACCAUUCUCGCCGCACACGCCCCCGCGACGGAGAACCCGUCGAAGACCAAACCAGCUUGGACACGAAGGCAACUCCGAGAAGCUCCUGAGAGAAAGUUGACCGGCCCAACAAGAACACCGCUAGAGACCAGACCAACAAGGGGAAGAAGCACCGCAGCUCCACCGUCAGAAGGGCUCCAAAACGCCUUCAGCCAAGCCAACUCACUCACCCAUCCGAGAAGACCGAGUAGAGAGGCAAGAGAUACAAGAAAAAUCCUGCAUCGAAAGCUCAGAUCUGACACCAGAUCGAAGCCCCCGCGACUCCACUCGCUCAAAGGAACCAACACAUCCACUCUUCUACCAUGCUUCACCGGGAUUCCAAGUCCGACGCGCCAGAUCUAUUCCGCACGGAGACGCGAAAACCCAGAACCACCGAGAAAGGAAACAAAGCAGAGGAGGGAGAGGAGCGGCGAAGGGAGAAAAGAGAAAAGAGGGGUGGGCGACCGGUGACUAUAGAGAAGGAGGAGCGCCGCCGGCCACCACGGCAAAGAACGAAAUAGGGUUUUGUUUUUUGAGAGGAUUUAGAGAGAGAGGGGAGUUAGAGAGUUUAUCUUGGAUGUUCUUCUUGCAUAUAGAAAAUUAUUGUUUUUCCUGCAUACAUAAACUUCACGAUGAAGAGGUAAAAAACAUAUAUAAUUUUUUAAGCUAUUUACAAAAAAUUAUACAGAAAAAAAUAAAACAAACAAUAUAUCAAGAUCUAGUUAUAUAUAAAUAAAAUUGUGUUCUCUACUCUCUUGCUCUUGCUCUGUUUCUCUCUACUUCUGUAUGCAGAGAAGCAUUUAUUAUAUAUACCAAGGUGGUAACUACAUUAAUUAUAAAUCCUAACUACUAAAAAUUUAGAGUUCGUACAAGAUAAAAUGAAUUAAUGAUUACAUCAACAACACAUAUCAGUCGGUUAUGAUUGGCCUCUAUCUCCAUACCUCUUUUCUAUGAAAAGAGAUGAUUAUCCGAACUCGAUGUCUAGCUUCUUUUUCAGCUUCCUCAUCCAUGAGGACUGGUUUUCAACGUCACUGUAUGUGACUUUUUCUAUGCUAUCCGACUCUGUUGUGAAUGCUACUUUGACACAUUCAGCAUCUGUCUCGAAUCUGCCGUCAUCUUCGGUAGAAGUAUUUGUUUAUUUUACAUUAUUGUAGUUUAUGGUUUCAAUUAAAGAGGAUGAAUAAUUCCCUUUUAUCAUUAUAAUCAAACAUGUUGAGGUUUAAUGAAAUUAAUUGUGUUCCAAAAAAAAAAUCUAAAAUAUUACCAUCUUUCAAGAAGUAGCGGUUUCGAAAACCUUACUAUUGUAACACAGGGUCAUAGCCUGUGACUCAAACACAAGAUACCUAACUAGACAUUAACAACAAAUCGGCGUUUCAAUACAUUGGUAUGUAAAAUACAUACGCAAAAAAUGUAUUAUUAGCCGGUUAUUUAACACGCAUGCAAUCCAAGCAAACUCCAACAACACGCUCCACAAAUCAUGACUUAGGGAGAUUAUUAUUCAUAUAAAGGACACCAUUAUUAAGGUGUUUGACUCUCUAAAGCAAUGAGGCAGCUGCUUUGUCAAGGUACCACAUAGUUUCGACAUGGGCAGUAAGAUGAGCAGCAGGUAAGGCGAGAUUGUUGUGCUUAAAGAUAUCAGCGAUGGAGCGUGGACACUGCUCUGUGUGGUCGUCGCAAACAGCCAUAAGAUUGUACGAAGCCGAGUUAAUGACCGGUAAAGUGAAUGUGAUUCUCCUAGGUGGCAGUUUUGGAGAGUCAGUAAUGUAAGUGACCCAUUUGUCCUUGACAUUGAUCUGUGGAUGUCCUGGGAAGAGAGACGCCAUGUGGCCAUCGGGACCCAUUCCUAGAAGCUGGAGAUCGAACUGAGGAUACUUGCCAUUUGGACAUAGUGGGAUUAUGUCUUGCUUCACCAGGUUCCUCAAACACUCCUCGUAGAGCGCCGCGCAGUGCUCCGCGUUACCAUCAGCGGCAUAGUGUUUGUCGAUUGCAUAGAUGUGCUCAUUCGGAAUCCCAACCUAAAUACACCCAAAAAAAUAAAAUUGUUUUAUAUGCAUUACGGAAUAACACAUAUAAAUAUAUAUACCACUUGUUAUAUGAUAAGUGAUAACUAAUCGAAAAAAUAGUAAAACCUUGGAGAGAAAACCAUCCAUGGCGAGUUUAUAGUUGCUGUCUGGAUCUUCAUAUGCACAAACCCUCUCAUCGACCCAAAAGACGUGCCACUUUGACCAUUCGAUUGAAUCUUUGUAAGGAGGUUCCAAUAGCUUGCUGCAACAUUUGAUUAAUCAAAACAUCAUAUAUUAUUAGAUUUUCCUAUUAAAAAAAAAGAAGAAGGAGAGUGAAAUAGGGAAGAUUUGUAGACCAGAGCCAGUCGAUGAGGCCACCGCCGGAGAGAACAACAGUGAAAAGGCCUUUCUCCUUACAGAACUUGGCCGAGAGAUGGGCAGUGUACUUAGCCAUUGCUACCGACAAUUCAUCCUUGGUCUGAAACACAUGCCACUUCCUGUGCCUAGCUUCUGUCAUUGUUACCUAUAAGAAAAGUUUCUUUGUAUAUGUUGUUAAUUAAGGAUUGGGGUUUCUUGCUUUUUAUAAAGAUCUAGUGGUUAUUGGAGCUGCUUGUGACUUUUGAGUUAGGUGGAAAGCGUGACUUUUUGUGGUGGAUUAUCACUGGACGUAUUGUCGUUCUCACUUUUGUUUUUUGUUUUUAUUUUCUACUAAUUACUUUUAUACGCUUCUGCUAGAGAAUAUGCUCUACAAACAGUUUGUGAAAUCAAAUGAUGGAUUAUGCUUUUUGUUUCAAAUCCUCAAAGCUGGAAAUCAACAUUGCAUUCCAGGUAAUUUCACACGAGAUACUAUUCACCAUUACAAUUUGUCACAAUUUUGUUUUUUAAAUAAUACGAAGCAGAAUCUUUAAUCUCUUUUACAGCUUACAUGUUGCAUUUUGUAUCAUAUGUCUAUAAGAAAAUAAAAGAAUGAGUUUUGUCCUCCUCAAAAUUCUCUAUCGUUCAAGUUCCCGACCGUUAUGGAAGGAGAAGUAGUUGAUAAGUCAUGGACCUGGUCAGAAGGGAUUAAUUCGAGGCCAAUCUACGAUAAAAUGAUUUUAAAGUGGCAUUGGACUUCUACCGGUGACAAACAGGAAAGAGCUCAUAGUACUUGACUACUGUCAUUUUUCAUGUGUUGGUUGGUUUAGUUUCUUCUUCCUCUUUAAUCUCGUGUCCUACUAUUUCAUAAAUGCCAUUUUUGUUUUGUCUUUUUUUUCUCUCUCUCACAUGUUUAACGAAUGUAACUUACUCUGCCAACAAAGUAGUUACAACAUAAAUUUACUUUGGAAAACGGAACUCUACUUUCUGAAUAUGUGAACUAGAUUCAAAGUUCUAACCACCAACUUCAAUUUUCUCUACUAUACUUUCUUCAUGUAAAACGUGUUCUCUACCGAACUCAGAAUUGUUGUUUACUUCGUUACACUCAGUUUUAACAUCUUACAUGAAUUGUGUUGCAGGGCAUAUGAAGUAUUUUUUUUAUUUCAUAUCUACUUUUAUUCUAUUUUGAAAAAAAAAAAAUUUGUGUUGGGUUGGAGAUGUCCUUAGGACCUUGAGCCAGUCCUGGCUGCAUAAUGUAAUAUGGGGAUGAAAAGUACACGUGAGAUAUUUUUUUUUGACGACCUACACGUGAGAUAUAUGUGUUGCACUGCAUCAUGUAAUAUGGUUCAAUCAACUGUGAAGCAACGUUUUUGUAAUAAUCGUAGUUGCCUAGUUGGUUGCUAAAUACGUUUUGUUUGGUCAAAGAAUUUCACUUAACCGCUUCGCUAUUGAUUCCUAGCAUUUCGGGAUGCACCAAACAACUUUGAGAAGUAUAAUCGAUUAUGCAAACCGAACCAAAAAAAUAACACCCCUCCAAGUUCCUCCUAUAACAUAUACUAGCUUAUGGAAAUGUGGUGGAGGACGAGGAAGGAUUAGUAGCCAUUACUACUAGUUAUUUCAGACAAAUUUUCGAAUCUGCAAAUCCGGAGGAUAUAGCAGAGGCGCUGAAAAAUGUCUCCACAACGAUAACAGGGACAAUAAAUGAGGAUCUUACAGCUCCAGUUACUGAAUGAGAAGUUAAAUUAGCGCUCUUUGCCAUGCACCCAGAGAAAGCACCAGGGCCAGAUGGGAUGACAGCUAUGUUCUAUCAGCAGUUUUGGGACAUUGUCAAAGAGGAUUUAACCCGUAUGGUUAAUCAAUUUCUUUUUGACGGAACAAUGGCCCAGGGGCUAAAUGAUACCAAUAUCUGCCUAAUUCCUAAAACGGAGAAGCCCAAUGAGAUGUCUAAGUUCAGACCGAUCAGCCUGUGCAAUGUCAGCUAUAAGAUUAUAUCUAAGGUCUUAUGCCAAAGAUUAAAGAAGGUUCUUCCCCAAAGAAUAUCUGAAACCCAGUCAGCCUUUGUUGCGGGUAGACAGAUAACUGACAAUAUAAUGAUAGCUCAGGAGAUGUUCCAUGCGCUUAGGACUAAGCCAGCUGGGAGAGUCAAGAGAAUGGCCAUCAAAACAGAUAUGAGUAAAGCAUAUGAUAGAAUGGAAUGGUCUUUCAUCGAGGCGGUUAUGCGGAAGAUGGGUUUCUCAGAGAUUUGGAUUAGCUGGAUUAUGCGAUGCAUUACCUCGGUUAAGUAUAAAGUCCUGAUGAAUGGGGAACCUAGGGGAAAUAUUGUUCCAGGGAGAGGUUUACGUCAAGGAGAUCCUUUGUCUCCUUUCAUAUUUAUUCUAUGCACGGAAGCGCUCGUUAGCCUUCUUAAUCAAGCAGAGAGUCAAGGGAAGAUAACGGGGAUGCGCGUUGCACGCGCUAGCCCCUCGGUAUCACACCUUCUCUUUGCUGAUGAUAGCCUUUUCUUCUGUAAGGCGGAGCCCCGUGAAUGUGAAGAAGUUAUGAAAGUAGUCAGGAAGUAUGGAAAAGCAUCAGGUCAAUGCAUUAAUUUUGAGAAGUCCUCAUUACUCUUUGGUAAGAGGGUCGCGGUGAAUGAUAGACAACAAAUCAAAGACACUCUCGGGAUUCAGAAUGAAGGGGGAAUGGGAAAGUAUCUGGGAAUACCAGAAGAUAUUAGCGGAUCCAAGUGCAAGCUUUUCGCUUUCCUAAAAGAAAAACUAUCACAUCGAGUGAACGGUUGGACAGGUAGGUGGCUAUCGAAAGGAGGAAAGGAAGUUCUGAUCAAAUCUAUUCUCUUAGCUCUUCCCACAUACGUAAUGUCAAGUUUCUUACUCCCUUUGGAGAUUUGUGAGAACCUUGCAAGUGCCAUUGCACAGUUUUGGUGGAGUUCAAACCCGCCAAAAAGAGGGAUUCACUGGGCUAAAUGCGAAAAGAUGUGUGCUCCUAGAGAGGAGGGUGGAGUGGGUUUCCGCAUGAUCCAUGAAUUUAAUCUAGCACUGCUAGCGAAACAACUCUGGCGCCUUGUUCCGUACCCCGAUUCAUUAGUAGCAAGAGUCCUCAAAGGGAAAUAUUACCGCCUCAGUUCGCCUUUGCGAAUCGCGGCGGUGGAUAACCCAUCCUACGUGUGGACGAGUAUAUCAGCAGCGAAGAAGCUUUUGCUUUUGGGUAUUAGGAGUAAAGUGCACUCAGGAUAUGAAAUCAAUGUCUGGCAGGAUCCGUGGAUUCCUUCGACGCCAGCUAGGCCGGCCCGCCCUAGGGUACCAGUCGUAAAUCCAAAGAUGCUUGUAAGUAGUCUUAUAAGUUCGGAAUCAAAGGAAUGGGAUGCUAGGAUACUGGCACAGUAUGUUGAGCAAGAGGAUAUACAGCUGAUUAUGAGUUUGGCCAUAAGCCCAACACAUCGCAGAGAUUCUUUCUGCUGGAGCUACACUAAAAACGGCCAAUACACGGUUAACUUCUUUCUUGUAAACACAAUUGAUCCAUCGAUGAAUACAUAAAUAGAUUGAAAGAUGGAUCCGACUAAAUGGUGUAUUACUUGGCAUAUGUUAUGAGCAUUUUGGUUUUGCUGAAUAUUAAACACUCGAAGGAGGAGUGGAUUGAGGAUAGAGGAAUGGAUAAAACAGGUGCAACUUGCAUUAGGGAAGCUAACUCUUGAUAACUACUGCUCUAGAAUGCUCUGCUGAGAAACAAAGAAAAAAACUAAUGGUGAGUGCAAAGAAGUGCACAUAGUAAAAAGAAAAAAAAUGAGCUUUGUUAGCUUAGUGUUAAACUCUUCUAGGACAGUUCCAGAGACAUAUCAUUUAGUUCUUUUAGAAAAGCUCCAGGGACAUGCUUGGCAUUUAGCUCUUUGAUCCAAUCUAUCAGCACAAUUUUCGGUGAUAUCAUUACAUAUUAAUUAUAGUUAUCCAAUGUUUCUCAAUUUAAUGCUAUGAACUAGAGUUGUAAAUCAUUUCUUGUGUAUUCAUGUUUUUCCAGCAAUGUCAUACAACACAAUAGUUAUGCGCAUUUCUCUAAAUCAUGGAAUCAUCUUAUAUUCUGUCCACCCUUUGAAAAUAAUGAUAAUACAAAACAACGUCUCUGACGUUGAUCAUUGUUUGUAGACAAUACAAAUCUCUAGCAAUUACCAUCACUAUGUCUUCUCUCUUGACUAGUACUUAGACUAAGCUUCCACUCUACAUACCCUAAAUAACAAUUGAAUUUACAAACCCUUGUAAAUUAUUUAAUAAAUCCUUAUAAAUAAUUUCAAUACUAAAGUCUCAAUACCCGUAGUCUUUAAUUAAUUCGUAAACCCAAUUCCUAAAAUUUCAAAACACAGAAUCAAAUUGCAUACUCAUCUCUAAUCAAUCGUUUACCUUCUUCAGAUUGAUGAAUAUUCUGAAUCUCAAUAUUGCAAUAAAUCGUAAUCCCCAAACCUUAAUAGAUUUCAAUGGUAAAAACUCAGAUUCUACAAUCUCCUCGAACCUGUGAAGUGAUCAAAGAUGAUCUGAUGCCAAAGGAAGAUAAUCUAUAGCUUCAACUUAUAGCCAUUCUUCGUAAUUUCGCAAAUAAACUCCACCAUGAUUUUACAGUACAGGAGGAUUAUCAUCAUCGCCGCAUCGGAAAAAUUUCGAAAAUAAUUGUAACUGAAACCCAAAUUUAUAAGGGGUAUAUUUUUCUUAAAGCAGUGUUCACUAUCAGACUCUUUUCUUUUAUAUGUAUAUAUUCAAAGAUCAAGUCAAAAUCAACCCUAUGUGGUAUUCGUAAUAAAAUCCUAAAAUUACUUGAAACCUAGAUUUACAAAGGGUUAUAAAUUUUCAAAAACUCAAUGUUCACUAUCGAAACUCUUUCUCUUAGAUCCGACUAUUAAUAGGUAACUCUUUCUCUUAGAUCGAAACCACAAAAUCCGAGAAAAUUACUUACAACUACUUGUGAUUCUUUCUGAGGAUUCAACAUUUUGAGGUUUCGAGUCUGGAUCUCGUCUGCUUCAUGAGAGAGAAUACACUCGAUCUCGUCGCCGUCGCUCGAUCUCGUUUCCGUUGUUCAAUCUCAUUGCCGUUCUCGAUCUCGUCGACGUCGUCUUCGCUCGCUCUCGUUGAGUUGCCGUCGCUCAAUCUCGUCGACGUCGUCUUCGCUCGAUCUCGUCGCCGUCGCUCGAUUAGAAUUGUGAGAGGGUUAUUUUUGUCUUUUGCCUAUUAAUAAUUUAAGUAUUUCUUAAAAUAUCCUCCUUCUUAGUGUAUAUAUGAAAAGUGAUACCAAAGAAAGUGUAAAAGUAAAAUUUCUCCAAGAAUAAUUUGCAAUGUUAAUUUUAUAACUAGGCUUCUACCCGCGCUAAAGGCAAAAAAAUUUCUUUUUCAUUUGAAUAUUAAAAUUUUAUAUAAGAAAUAAUAUAUUAAAAAUGGAAAAUUUUAAUUGCAUUAUAUUUAUAAUAGUUUGGGCUGUGUGAAGAAUAAUAUUUUUAAUUGUAAAAAUAUAUUUACGGAAAUGAUUACUUUUACCCCAUUUAUAAUGCAAGAUCAUCAUUUAAGAUAAUCUUAAAAUUUUAAUUAAAAAUAAUUUUAUAAAAAAUGUUAUGCAAUGUAAGUUUAAAUGUAUAGUUGAUUUAAAAUAAUUUUAUUUUAUUAUUUAGAAAACAACAUAUGUUAAAUAUAGAACUAAUUUGUGUAGAUUUAUAUAUUAUACAGCUAAGUGUUCUAUUGAGAAGAAGAAGUAUGUGCAAAAAAAUAUAGUCAUAUCAUCUUAAAUGUAUCUACUUAUAGAUUUAUUUAUAUUUAUUUAUUUCAUUUUGGAAAUAUGUAUUUUUUAUCUCCUACAUAUUCCCCUUUUUAAUUAUAUGUUUAAAAGAAGAAUUAUUAACUAAUUUUGAAAAAAAAUUUAAUGUUUUUUUUGAAUUAUGGCUUUGUUUAUUUUAUUUUUACUUGGAUUAUUUUAACGUGUGAAUAAUUUAGAUUUAAAAAAACAAUAUUCUAAAGUUAUUUUAUAUUUAGUUUUGAAAUGGUCAUUCGAUUUUUCCAUCUAAAUUUGAAUUUCAAAUUUUGCCGCAAGUUUAAUACCUUUUUCAAAUUUUCUCUUAAAAUAACUAUUUCAAAAAUAAUUUAAAUUUAUGAUAAAAGUAUUAUGUUAACUCUCCUAAAUCAUUUAUAAAAUUUUAAAAUAAUUUUUUAAAACAUUUGAAGAAGUUAAAAAUUCCAACUCCACCCCAUUAAUAGUAAAGCCUAAACAAUAGUAACUAAGCCCAAAUGUUAAGAUAUUUUUGAAUGAAUAUAUUUUCAAAAACUGGAAGCCAAUUGAGAGUAUUUCAGGUAAUUUUUCAUGUUUUUUGAAUUUUUUUCAUGUUUACCAUAUAGGACAAUAAAUGAGGAUCUUACAGCUCCAGUUACUGAAUGGGAAGUUAAAUUAGCGCUCUUUGCCAUGCACCCAGAGAAAGCACCAGGGCCAGAUGGGAUGACAGCUAUGUUCUAUCAGCAAUUUUGGGACAUUGUCAAAGAGGAUUUAACCCGUAUGGUUAAUCAAUUUCUUUUUGACGGAACAAUGGCUCUGGGGCUAAAUGAUACCAAUAUCUGCCUAAUUCCUAAAACGGAGAAGCCCAAUGAAAUGUCUAAGUUCAGACCGAUCAGCAUGUGCAAUGUCAGCUAUAAGAUUAUAUCUAAGGUCUUAUGCCAAAGAUUAAAGAAGGUUCUUCCCCAAAGAAUAUCUGAAACCCAGUCAGCCUUUGUUGCGGGUAGACAGAUAACUGACAAUAUAAUGAUAGCUCAGGAGAUGUUCCAUGCGCUUAGGACUAAGCCAGCUGGGAGAGUCAAGAGAAUGGCCAUCAAAACAGAUAUGAGUAAAGCAUAUGAUAGAAUGGAAUGGUCUUUCAUCGAGGCGGUUAUGCGGAAGAUGGGUUUCUCAGAGAUUUGGAUUGGCUGGAUUAUGCGAUGCAUUACCUCGGUUAAGUAUAAAGUCCUGAUGAAUGGGGAACCUAGGGGAAAUAUUGUUCCAGGGAGAGGUUUACGUCAAGGAGAUCCUUUGUCUCCUUUCAUAUUUAUUCUAUGCACGGAAGCGCUCGUUAGCCUUCUUAAUCAAGCAGAGAGUCAAGGGAAGAUAACGGGGAUGCGCGUUGCACGCGCUAGCCCCUCGGUAUCACACCUUCUCUUUGCUGAUGAUAGCCUUUUCUUCUGUAAGGCGGAGCCCCGUGAAUGUGAAGAAGUUAUGAAAGUAGUCAGGAAGUAUGGAAAAGCAUCAGGUCAAUGCAUUAAUUUUGAGAAGUCCUCAUUACUCUUUGGUAAGAGGGUCGCAGUGAAUGAUAGACAACAAAUCAAAGACACUCUCGGGAUUCAGAAUGAAGGGGGAAUGGGAAAGUAUCUGGGAAUACCAGAAGAUAUUAGCGGAUCCAAGUGCAAGCUUUUCGCUUUCCUAAAAGAAAAACUUUCACAUCGAGUGAACGGUUGGACAGGCAGGUGGCUAUCGAAAGGAGGAAAGGAAGUUCUGAUCAAAUCUAUUCUCUUAGCUCUUCCCACAUACGUAAUGUCAAGUUUCUUACUCCCUUUGGAGAUUUGUGAGAACCUUGCAAGUGCCAUUGCACAGUUUUGGUGGAGUUCAAACCCGCCAAAAAGAGGGAUUCACUGGGCUAAAUGGGAAAAGAUGUGUGCUCCAGAGAGGAGGGUGGAGUGGGUUUCCGCAUGAUCCAUGAAUUUAAUCUAGCACUGCUAGCGAAACAACUCUGGCGCCUUGUUCCGUACCCCGAUUCAUUAGUAGCAAGAGUCCUCAAAGGGAAAUAUUACCGCCUCAGUUCGCCUUUGCGAAUCGCGGCGGUGGAUAACCCAUCCUACGUGUGGACGAGUAUAUCAGCAGCGAAGAAGCUUUUGCUUUUGGGUAUUAGGAGUAAAGUGCACUCAGGAUACGAAAUCAAUGUCUGGCAGGAUCCGUGGAUUCCUUCGACGCCAGCUAGGCCGGCCCGCCCUAGGGUACCAGUCGUAAAUCCAAAGAUGCUUGUAAGUAGUCUUAUAAGUUCGGAAUCAAAGGAAUGGGAUGCUAGGAUACUGGCACAGUAUGUUGAGCAAGAGGAUAUACAGCUGAUUAUGAGUUUGGCCAUAAGCCCAACACAUCGCAGAGAUUCUUUCUGCUGGAGCUACACUAAAAACGGCCAAUACACGGUUAAGUCUGGGUAUUGGGUUGCUACAAAUAUAUUGGAUGCGGAGGAGGAAGCUGAAGUCAAACAACCUAGCAUCGCUGAACUUCAAGCCUUUGCUUGGAAAGUGAACGCACCUCAGAAAAUUCGUCAUCUUAUAUGGCAAUUAAUUUCGGGACAGGUAGCAGUAACAAGGAACUUAAUACGUCGUAAUCUGCGGUGUGAUGAUUACUGCCCAAGAUGUGGAGAGCCGAGAAAAAUGUAACCCAUGCGAUCUUUGAAUGUCCCCCAGCGUUACAAGUAUGGGAGCUAUCAUCUACGCCGUCAAACCACCAAACUUUCCCCAUAUCGAGUAUGUAUGCCAAUAUGGACUACCUUUUCUGGAGGAAAAAUACAAUUAGAAGGCCAGAAGAUGAUAGAGACCCUUAUCCCUGGAUAAUCUGGUACAUCUGGAAGGCGAGGAAUGAUAAGCUAUUCAGGGGGAUUGACAGGGACUCUCUGGAACUGGUCAGGUAUGCAGAGAGUGAAUGUCAGGCUUGGUAUAAUGCUAAGGAGUCUAUACCUAAUCCCCCUCAGGCACCAAACACUGAAGUGAUACAAGCCUUAAGCUUGAAUAAUAUGUGCAUGGUGGAUGGCUCUUGGACAUCCACAGAUCUAUUCAGUGGAAUUGGUUGGGUAUGGAAAGAUAAUACGGGAAAGAUCCAACUUAUGGGAACACGGAAUUUGAGGAGGCGGGAGACAGCACUACACUCGGAAUUGGAAGCAUUAAAAUGGGCAUUCGAAAGCAUGCUUCAACAUUCAAACUGCCAACACUUUGGUACAGAUUGCAAGGACCUGAUAGCUAUGAUAAACGAACCCCAAGCCUGGCCAAAGUUUUCAACGGAGCUGGAAGCCAUUCAAAUCAUCCUCAUGUGUUAUUCGGACUUCAAGAUCACCUACGUGCCAAGAACACAGAAUGAAAUUGCUGAUUCUUUAUCUAGGAAUGCUCGAUCUUUUCAUAGAUCUCUUUGUUUUAUUGGUUGUUCUAUUCCGGUCUGGCUACCCAGACCACCUCAUGUUUGAGUAAUAGAAUAGCCGUUUGUUGACAAAAAAAAAACAUAUACUAGCUUAAUUUUGAUUUAGGUGAUGAUUGUUUCAGUUUUUAGUUUUAGUUUUUGGUUUUAAGAUUUUGGUUUUUAGUUUGGUUUUCAACUUUUGGUUUUUGGUUUAAAUUAGUAAAUUAUAUUAACAUUUUAAGCUGCCACGUAAGUUAUAUUGACAUCUUAAUUUUUAAGCUGUCACGUAAUUUAUAUUGACAUCUUAAUUAAAUGAUACAUACGCAUGAUCUUUUUUUUUAAUUAGUACAAACUUAAAGUUACAAUUUUUUAAAUGUUCCUCAAUUAAUAUAUAGGGGAUUCCCUAGCCAUUUAAUUUAGAUUAACAAAAUUCUCAAUUGAUUUUCAAGUCAUCACGUAAACAAAUUAACAUUCCAAUUACAUGAUGAUAUAUAUGGACCAACAUAUUUUUCUAAAGAUUCUAAGAAUGGUUGUGGUGAUGAAAUGUAGAUACAAAAAUAUGUUAUAAUAUUUCUCUUUUAAUACAUAGAGGAUAUACAAAAUGAAUGACAUGUGUCUUUGUACAAGGUGUUCAAAAAAAAAGUAUCUUUAUACAAAAAUUUAUUAUAAACGACCAUGCAUUUUAUGUAACUAAAAGUUUCAUAUGUUUCAUAAACUUCUGAAAGUUGUAAUUCAUGUGUCUCUAUUCUUUUCAUUUACUACAAAUCGUGUAAAAUAUGUUUUCUUAUAUACAAAUAAAAAUCUCUCAUGGAUAUGGUCAUAUCUGAUAUGACCAUACUCGACCAUUCAUCUCAUUUACUAACAGGGUGAUGACUUUUAAAUAAAUUUCCUCCAGUCAUUUUUCAUGUGUCAAGAACUUUUUUUUCUAAAUGUCAUGAACUAUUUGUUAAAUCGUAUUAGCCUUAUUUGAAUUUCUGCUCUAUUUUUAUUAUAGGAUUGCAUCUUUAUAUAUUAAAACACAUAUGGCAUUUGGAGAAGAUGAAGAUGGGUGUGUUCAAAAUAUCACCUAAAAUAUUAGUCGUUUGUUAAAAAAAAAUCAUAAUAUUAUAGUGAUUGUAACAAUAUUUGGAAAACAUUUUGAAAAAAAAACUAUCAAGGAAAAUCUAUUCCAAUAUUAAGCAAUAUUAUUCAAAAAAAGAUUAAGGAUUAUACCCGCAACAAUAUUGGUUGCACAUUUAAAACAUCAUAAUAUUGUAAUCCUAUAAUUUAGUGAUUGUAAUCAUUAUUGGAAACAAAGUAAUGGAAUAUACGGGAUAUCUAUUCUAAUAUAAAUAAGUAUCAUUCAUCAUAUAUCAUUGUUUUGUCUCUGAUCUUAUAAUUCACAAUCACGUAAUUGUAAGGAAACAAUUGAUUUGUUGAAUCAUAUGACCUUCUUCUUUGAUUCGCCCUUAAAUAUAUCGAGCAUCUAUAAGCUUGAUCUUCACUGAGUUUCAACAUCGUAUGAGUCGAUUAAUCUACCCCUUAUUAUUGUGUUUCAUUUUCAUAACCUGAUGUCUCAAGCAACAUGCACCAAUCUUAAGAACUGAUUCACCGAUUGAAUUUGAUGAGUUAGAGGAGCACAGUUUUGGCUUUAACAGAAAAAAAUCUAGAGUUGACCUGAUUUACCUUUGCUCAAAAGUAACUUUAUGGAUUAACUAAUUAAACUCAAAAGCUAACUAUAUGAAACCCAAUAUAUAUUUUCUAGAUAGACCUUUUUAUUUUAACAAAAUUAUGUUCACGAUAUUUUUUUUCUUUGUAAACACAAUAUGUUUCAAAUAUAGCCCAAAAUUAUUUUUGUCUUUUAUUAUUUCUGAAUUUUAAUUAAAAUGUUACAAAAUGUUAGAACUAAAAGAAUAUAAAAUAAUGAUGUCUCUGUAUAAAACUGAAACAUAACCAAUACAAAGCUAUGAAUUUUGUUUUUAAUUUUAAUAGAUGUAUUAAUUUACACAAACAAUCCAAAUUGUAUGCUUUAUAAAAAAAAUACACUUGAAAAAUGGUAAAUUUGUAAAACAAAUGCCAAAUACCAAAUGAUUUAUCUAACAUACAACUUUAGUUAUUUGAACAUAAAUAACUCGUAUCAACAAAUACAAAAAUAAACAUUUAAAAUACAUGAAACAACCAUAAUUUUGAAACAUAAAAAAUAAAAGAACACCACGCGGUUGCGCAGCUCUAGUUAAAGCUUCUUUAGUUACACUCAAAAGGGUUUAUAUUUUGUAGUUUGUUUAUUUAAUUCGGGAUUUAUAUUUCGUACAUUAGGAAACUUUUUUUUUGCAAAAGAUUAGGAAACUAUUUAGUAAUUGUUUUCUUCAUUUCAUUUUCCCAGAGGACUUUGAUUUUAGGUUUUUAUAAUAGAGAUGCAGCUUGGUUGUAAGACUCAUCUAAGCUAGAUAACUUGAAGGGUUUAGCUGUAUUAAAUCAGUGAUCAGCAUACUGGAUAUAUGUUCACAAAUCAAAGACAAUGCUAUAGCUAUAGCUUUAUCUAUCUUAUUAAAACUCAAGUACAAAAUUGGAGUGUUUGGAGACUUGAAUAGGACUUUUAAAAAUUUGGAGUGUUUGGAAACAUGGAUUGCAGUCUUUAAAAAAAAAAAUAUUUUUGUUUGAAAACAAGGAUAGUAGUAUUAAGAAAAAAAGUAAUGGGCUUAUGUUUUUUUAAAAAAUUGAAAGUUAUCUAGGCCACUUUUAAAAUAUACCAAAAUGGGUCAAUCUAAUUCCCUAAAAUUUUUUUUUCUAAACUAACCAUAAAACAAAAUUUAAACUUUAUAUACAUAUUUCAAAUCAAAAUAAUAAUUCAAAUUUGAUUUAUAUCAAAAAUUGAUUCAAAAAUAUACAUAUAUUCAAAAAUGGAUUUUUACUAAACUAUUUUUCAAUAACCAUUAUAAAAAAAUAUUGUCAAUAUAUAUAAGAAAAAUAUAAUACAAAGCCCAAUUUGAAAUACCAACUCAAAUUAUGGUUUUCAUAUUUCAUAUUAAGUUUUAAAAAUAUAAUAUAUGUAAUUAUUUAUAUGAUGGUAUGUAUAAAAUACUAUUAAUUAUAUGAUUACUUAUAUGAUGGUACAUAUAAAAUACGAUUAAUUAUAUGAUGAUAAAAUACGAUAUAUAAUAAUGACUAGGGAUGGGCUUUUGGAUACCCAUACGGGUUUAGUUCUGAUCGGUUUGUAUUUUGGGUUUUCGGGGUCAAAGAUUUCAGCCUUAUUAGAAUGUUUCUAAAUUUUGGUUUGAGUUCGAUUUGGAUCUUUGCGGGUUUGGUUUGGGUUUGGAUAACUAAUUUAAAUUAUUUUUAAAGUCUUAAAUCAUUAUAUAUUUUAAAUUUCUCAAAAUGUAUAAAUAAAAUAAUAUAUUACGUAUAAAUUUGAAUAACAUAUGUCAUAAUACUUAAGCUUAACAUAUCAAUUGGCUUGAUUUAAAAUUUUGGAUACGAAAUCAAUAAUUAUUUUAAGUAUUUUUGGUGAUUUGAGUAUACUUUAACUAUUUCAGAUAUUUACUUUUGACUAUCUAUAUAUAUUUUCAAGUAUUUAAACCAAUUUAAAAGUAUCAUUUUUGAUGUUUUAUAUACGUUAAAUCUAAAAAUAAUUAAUAUAUAUAAGUAUAUAAAUCUAUUUUUAGAUAAAUUCGGAUACCCAAAUACUUCGGUUCGGAUCAGAUUCGGUUCUCUAAAUAACAAAAUUUUGAAUAAUUAGAAUAUUUAAUCAAUUUAUGUUUGGGUUUGGUACUAUAUCUUUGGAUCGGUAUCGGUUAUGUUCCUCGGAUUCAUUUUUCCAAAUCCUAAUAAUUACAUGAAAAAUAAAUAUCAACAUAUUUUUCAAAAUAUAUACCCGCGCGCCUGCGCGGGUCAAAAUCUAGUUUAUUAUUAUUAUAGCACAACAUCACAGACUCAAACAAGUUACACAACUAGAGAGAAACAACAAAUCGGCGUUUCGAUAGAUUUGGUACAUAACAUAUGUACGCAAAAUGCAUUAUUAUUAGCCGGUUAUUCAACACAAAUGCAUGCAAACAGCAACAGCUCGAUCGGUCCACAAAGCAGCAAAGAGAGAUUAUUAUUCAUAUAAAGGACACCAAUAUGAAGGUGUUUGACUCUCUAAAGCUUCGAGGCAGCUGCUUGGUCGAGGUACCACAUUUCUUCGACUUGAGCAGUAAGAUUAGCAGCAGGUAAGGCGAGAUUGUUGUUCUUAAAGAUCUCAGCAAUGGAACGUGGACAUUGCUCUGUGUGGUCGUCGCAAACGGCCAUGAGAUUGUACAAAGCCGAGUUGAUGACCGGUAAAGUGAAUGUGAUUCUUUUUCGUGGCGGUUUUGGAGAGUCGGUGAUGUAAGUGACCCAUUUGUCAAUCACAUGGAUCUGAGGAUGUCCAGGAAAGAGAGACGCCAUGUGGCCAUCAGGACCCAUCCCUAGAAGCUGGAGAUCGAACUGAGGAUAUUGAUACUUGCCAUAUGUACAUAGUGGAAGUAUGUUUUGCUUCACCAGUUUCCUCAAGCACUCCUCGUAGAGCAUCGCGCAGUUCUCCGCGUCACCAUCAGCUGCAUAGUGUUUGUCGAUAGCGUAGAUGUUCUCAUUUGGAAUCCCAACCUAAAUUAAGUUUACCCAAAAAAUAAAAUCUCUCUAGUAUAUAUAACCAAAAAAAACGAUUUGCGUUUUUUUACAUGGUCAUCAGUUGAUAUGCAUAAUGAAAUAAUAUAUACCACUUGUUAUGUGAUACGUGAUAACAAAUCGAAGAUAUUAAUAACAACAAUAAUAAAACCUUGGAGAGAAACCCAUCCAUGGCGAGUUUGUAGUUGCUGUCUGGAUCUUCAUAUGAACAAACCCUCUCGUCCACCCAAAAGACGUGCCACUUUGACCAUUCGACACUAUCUAUGUAAGGAGGUUCCAACAACUUGCUGCAACAUUUGAUUAAUUAAAGCAUCAUAUAUAUUUUUUUUUUUUGAUCAACCAAACAUUUCAUUAAAACUGAGAAACUAAGAGUUCGAGGCAUACAAAGCAGAUUUAGCCAGAGCAUCCGCAGCAGAAUUAAAGAUCCUAGGGACAUAGGUAAACACAAUAGUAGAGAAGGAUGAAGAUAGAUUUUCGAUAUCCAAGUUGAUUCCGUAGAGUUCCACCGGAUGUUGAUUCGAAUUUAGCGCUUUGAUGAGCACCUGAUUAUCUGAUUUGAGGCAGAUAUUGGGUAGAUGAAGAGCUUUGGCUUGUAGCAGGGCUUCUCGCACAGCUAGAGCUUCAGCCAUCAAGGGGGAUGCAACGAACCGUUCUGUUGAGACGCCUUGUCUUGUUUCUUCCGGGCGUAAGGUCUGGAUGAUCCAGCCACAGCCUGCGCGUCUAUCUUGUGCUCUCCAAGCCGCGUCCGUAUACAGAGGUGCAUAUUCAGUCGAUGUAUAGCCGUUGUGGUUGUGUUGUGUACAUGUUUCGUUGACCUUAAGGGGUUGUGCCUGCUGCCACUCACGUGCUAGUCUUAGGGCGUUGGAGGUGAUAUCUUCUGGGCUAAGAUUGCGGUUCUCGAAGACCAGUUGAUUUCUUGCGGUCCAAAUGCACCAGCAAACCCAAGAGAAGAUGUUAACAUAGACGCCCGUAGGUGGAAGGCAAACCAGGGAAGACGAUGAUUCUAGCGUGGUAGCGAAGGUAACCGUUGCUCGAAGGUCGAGCGGUCUCGUGGUUGGGAGAUUGUUCCAAACUCUCUUAGCGUAGCGACAAUGCAGGAAUAGGUGGUCCGCAGAUUCAGGUUCACCGCACCGUGCACACGUUACUGGAUGCGUCAAAAUUCCUCUUCUUUGCAGAGCCACGCCCAAAGGUAGAGCAUCUUGGAAAACCUUCCAGAGGAAAACUUGGAUUUUUGGAGCCGUUUUAACAGCCCAAAUGCUCUUGAUCCAGUUGAAGUUCUGAAGGCGAUCAGGAAGUUGAUGGUUCUGCAUAUCCUCCUCAGCCUCUUGGUGUUUGACCGCUUCGAAGUACCCCGACUUUGUGGAGUAAGUUCCAGAUACAUUGAGUGGCCAGAAAAACUUAUCUUCAGCUCCAAAACGGCUUGGUCUCAUGCAGAAGAUAUUGUCUGCGUAUGAGGGUAGUAGACUACGAACCUUCGGUUGGUUCCAAUCAUUAGUUCCCCGGAGGAGAAGGUCAGAGACAUACAUAUCGAGUUCAUCUUCCCUUGCUGGUCCUAUAGGCCUGACGAGCUCACCAGUCUUAAUCCAUGCAUCCUUCCAGAUUCUAGUGGUGUUUCCAUCUCCUAUCGCUUUGCCGACGCUCGGUGCUAGUAGGUCUCUUCCAUGCAGGAUACCACGCCAACCAUGGGAGCAAGCUGCCGAUUCCUUAACUGUGAGGAAGGAGGCUUUGUGAUAAUACUUCCCUCUUAACACCCGAGAGAGAAGACACUCCGGUUUUGUAAGUACUCGCCAAGAUUGCUUAGCUAGAAGGGCUUUGUUGAAAAGCUGAAUGUCCCGAAAACCCAACCCUCCUAGUUUCUUCGGUUUUGCCCUUUUAGUCCAAGAUGUCCAGCACAUCUUUCUCUUAUUAUCAUUCCCAUCCCACCAAAACCGCGUUAACACAGACUGGAUCCUCUUACACAGGCUCAUGGGUAACUCAAAGCAAGACAUGGCAUGUGUUGGAGAUGCUGACAAGACCGCCUUCAGCAUAGUCAACUUGCCCGCACUUGACAAGAACCGGGUUGACCAGCCGCUCGCCUGUUGUCUAAUCCUAUCAACAAUCGACGAGAAUAAGUCCCUUUUCCGCCGGCCAAAGUGCUCGGGUAGACCAAGAUACUUUCCCACUCCUCCUUCUCUUGCAAUACCAAGGUGAGAUUUGACUCUAGCUCGAGUCUCCUGGGUUGUUUUUGCCGAGAAGGUAAUGGAUGAUUUGUUUGUGUUGAUCGUUUGCCCGGAGGCCGCUUUGUACUUCUGUAAGAUCAGGUGGAGGGUGUUGCAGCUCUUCUCAUCAGAUUGCAUAAAAAACAUUGUGUCGUCCGCAAAUAAGAGGUGGUUUAUACGAGGGGCUCCUCUAGCAACUCUAAUCCCAGACAACAGCCCUGCUUCUUGUCCUCUCUUACACAGUCUUGAUAAGACUUCACUGCAGAGUAUGAAGAGGUAGGGUGAGAGCGGAUCGCCUUGUCUGAUCCCCCUUGAAGGAACCACUGAUCCCUGGACCGAGUCGUUCACCAAGUACGAGUAAGAGACCGUCCGUAUGUAGGUCAUAAUUCUCGAAACCCAGAUGCUAUGGAAUCCUAGUCGUUCCAAAACAAGCUGAAUGAAGUCCCAUUCAAGCCGAUCAUAGGCUUUACUCAUGUCUGUCUUUACUGCCAUAGAGCACCUUUUCACAGCAUUGGAAGUCUUGAGAUAAUGUAGAGUCUCAUGUGUAAUGAGCACAUUGUCCGAGAUCGCUCGUCCUGGUACAAACGCAGACUGAGUUUCCGAGAUAAUCCCAUGUAGAAUCGGCUUAAGUCGUAGAGUGAGGAUCUUCGAGAUCAGAUUAUAAACCACGUUACAUAGAGCGAUGGGUCUGUACUCUGAAACCAGCUUCGGACUCUGAACUUUCGGUAUGAGUCUCACAUGAGUCUCAUUAAUGUGCGCUGAGAGUGAACCAUUCCUGAAGAAGUCUUGUGUUUCCUUGGCGAUGAUAGGCCCAACCGUUGCCCAAUUUGAUUGAAAGAAGCAAGCUGAGAACCCAUCGGGCCCGGGCGCUUUAUCCGGAUGGAUCGAGAACAUAGCAAUUCGUAUCUCCUCGAGUGAUGGUAUUUUGAUCAGUCCUUCAUUAGUCUCCUCUGAGAUGCACGGGCGUAGCGCUUGUUCAACUACUGCUGCUGGUUCAAAGCGAGAAAUUGAUGUAUCAUUCGAAGUAAAUAUAGUUUGGAAGUAAGAAGUUAUCUCCUGAACUAUAUGUGACUCCUCAUACAAGGCAACACCAGCAUCAUUCUCUAAGACAGUAAUGCGAUUCCUGGCUCUUUUCCCUUUGCAGAUUGCAUGAAAAUAACCUGAGUUUCUAUCUCCAGCU
This 25136-nucleotide long non-coding RNA is filed under the name Brassica napus (rape). Its description in RNAcentral is "long non-coding RNA (BNAP_LNC005371)". The record is from RNAcentral. Lineage: Eukaryota; Viridiplantae; Streptophyta; Magnoliopsida; Brassicales; Brassicaceae.